GAUGAACGCUGGCGGCGUGCCUAAUACAUGCAAGUCGAGCGAACAGACGAGGAGCUUGCUCCUCUGACGUUAGCGGCGGACGGGUGAGUAACACGUGGAUAACCUACCUAUAAGACUGGGAUAACUUCGGGAAACCGGAGCUAAUACCGGAUAAUAUAUUGAACCGCAUGGUUCAAUAGUGAAAGACGGUUUUGCUUUCACUUAUAGAUGGAUCCGCGCCGCAUUAGCUAGUUGGUAAGGUAACGGCUUACCAAGGCAACGAUGCGUAGCCGACCUGAGAGGGUGAUCAGCAACACUGGAACAGAGACAAGGACCAGACUCCUAAGGGAGGCAGCAGUAGGGAAUCUUCCGAAAUGGGCGAAAGCCUGACGGAGCAACGCCGCGUGAGUGAUGAAGGUCUUCGGAUCGUAAAACUCUGUUAUUAGGGAAGAACAAAUGUGUAAGUAACUAUGCACAUCUUGAAGGUACCUAAUCAGAAAGCCCCGGCUAACUACGUG
Molecule: ribosomal RNA, 497 nt
Filed under: uncultured bacterium
Lineage: Bacteria
Description: partial 16S ribosomal RNA
Rfam family: Bacterial small subunit ribosomal RNA
Source: RNAcentral